UACGAAGGGGGCUAGCGUUGUUCGGAAUUACUGGGCGUAAAGCGCGUGUAGGCGGGUCCUUAAGUCAGGGGUGAAAUGCCAAGGCUCAACCUUGGAACUGCCUUUGAUACUGAGGAUCUUGAGUUCGGGAGAGGUGAGUGGAACUGCGAGUGUAGAGGUGAAAUUCGUAGAUAUUCGCAAGAACACCAGUGGCGAAGGCGGCUCACUGGCCCGAUACUGACGCUGAGGCACGAAAGCGUGGGGAGCAAACAGG
This 253-nucleotide ribosomal RNA is filed under the name uncultured bacterium. Its description in RNAcentral is "partial 16S ribosomal RNA". It matches the Rfam family "Bacterial small subunit ribosomal RNA", at positions 524 to 776 of the family's 1533-position model. The record is from RNAcentral.